Molecule: ribosomal RNA, 898 nt
Filed under: Salmonella enterica subsp. enterica serovar Derby
Lineage: Bacteria; Pseudomonadati; Pseudomonadota; Gammaproteobacteria; Enterobacterales; Enterobacteriaceae
Description: partial 23S ribosomal RNA
Rfam family: Bacterial large subunit ribosomal RNA
Source: RNAcentral
GGGUUGUGAGGUUAAGCGACUAAGCGUACACGGUGGAUGCCCUGGCAGUCAGAGGCGAUGAAGGGCGUGCUAAUCUGCGAUAAGCGCCGGUAAGGUGAUAUGAACCGUUAUAACCGGCGAUACCCGAAUGGGGAAACCCAGUGUGACUCGUCACACUAUCAUUAACUGAAUCCAUAGGUUAAUGAGGCGAACCGGGGGAACUGAAACAUCUAAGUACCCCGAGGAAAAGAAAUCAACCGAGAUUCCCCCAGUAGCGGCGAGCGAACGGGGAGGAGCCCAGAGCCUGAAUCAGCAUGUGUGUUAGUGGAAGCGUCUGGAAAGGCGCGCGAUACAGGGUGACAGCCCCGUACACAAAAGCGCAUGUGCUGUGAGCUCGAUGAGUAGGGCGGGACACGUGGUAUCCUGUCUGAAUAUGGGGGGACCAUCCUCCAAGGCUAAAUACUCCUGACUGACCGAUAGUGAACCAGUACCGUGAGGGAAAGGCGAAAAGAACCCCGGCGAGGGGAGUGAAAAAGAACCUGAAACCGUGUACGUACAAGCAGUGGGAGCCCCACCACUAAGCCAGUGGUGAACUCCACAUACGCAUCCUUUGCUGAGGAUACGGUUAACGGAGCGCAAGCGACGUUCAACCGCAAAAGAAGCAGAGGGGGCUUAGUGGUGGGGUGACUGCGUACCUUUUGUAUAAUGGGUCAGCGACUUAUAUUCUGUAGCAAGGUUAACCGUAUAGGGGAGCCGGAGGGAAACCGAGUCUUAAUUGGGCGUUAAGUUGCAGGGUAUAGACCCGAAACCCGGUGAUCUAGCCAUGGGCAGGUUGAAGGUUGGGUAACACUAACUGGAGGACCGAACCGACUAAUGUUGAAAAAUUAGCGGAUGACCUGUGGCUGGGGGUGAAAGGCCA